This 230-nucleotide ribosomal RNA is filed under the name Lachnospiraceae bacterium. RNAcentral describes it as "partial 23S ribosomal RNA". It matches the Rfam family "Bacterial large subunit ribosomal RNA", at positions 2704 to 2925 of the family's 2925-position model. Lineage: Bacteria; Bacillati; Bacillota; Clostridia; Lachnospirales; Lachnospiraceae. The record is from RNAcentral.
AACCUCUGGUGCAUCGGUUGUCAACCAAUGGCAUGGCCGAGUAGCCAAGUUUGGACGGGAUAAACGCUGAAGGCAUCUAAGCGUGAAGCCCCCCUCAAGAUGAGAUAUCCAAGUAUUUAUACGAGAGACCCCUUGAAGACGACGAGGUAGAUAGGACAGAGGUGGAAGUGCAGUAAUGCAUGCAGCUGACUGUUACUAAUAGGUCGAAAGCUUGACCAAAUCAAACCGAA